RNAcentral lists this long non-coding RNA (1576 nucleotides) under Canis lupus familiaris (dog). Its description in RNAcentral is "lncRNA (ENSCAFG00000051717.1, ENSCAFG00845015055.1)". Lineage: Eukaryota; Metazoa; Chordata; Mammalia; Carnivora; Canidae. The record is from RNAcentral.
AAAGGGGACACUGCAGCUAAAAUGGAGCCUUUGCCUGUAGAGAACUUUUGCCCAUCUGGUAUGCACCUCCUUGGCCCUACUCGGUUUCUUCCUCACCUAUGGGUUCACAAUCCCUGACGACAGCAUCCUGGUGACGUAGAUUCUCUGCCUCUAUGAGUUAGAGGAGGAAAGGCAAGGAUGUGUGUAUUUGCUACCCCCUCCCCCAUGUGAGAGUGUCCGCUGCCCAGGUGAUACUGCUGGUGAAUGACAAAGGCUGGGCAGCGUCUUCCAAGUCUCCUGUACUUUGCCUCCUACCUUGUGCACUGACACAGCAAGGGAACAGAGGUACAGCUACCUUCUAAUCGGUACCUUCUGUUAAGUACCCAGCUCGACCACAAAAUGAUGUCACCUAAGAACCUUGUGUACUGUGUGUUAGCCAUGAAGCCGGUCUGUGUCCUGGAGAAACUUUUGCACCUGGAGAAAGAAGAGAAGAAACAGAAAACACACAGAGAAACUGAUGCUCCAUGUCAGUGGUCCUGCAGCUGCAUGAGGUGUGAGAAGGAAAGACUGGUGGCCAGAGCCUGAGCCCGGGGGGUGAAGGAGCCAGUGCGCUUGGCACCGAAGGGUGAACCAGUGCCCCUGCCCCCAUGCCAGUGGCUGCUGUGUUUUUGUUCUUCCUUCCAAAUCAGACUCUGGGGGUUUCUUAGGCAGAACCCAGAAAGGGCUUGCUGCUUCUGCAGCCUGGAGAAAGAUGGUGUGAUUUGGACUAGCCGUCAAGGAGGUGGAUGUCUUUACACCUUCAUUUCAGCGUCCUGGGAGGUGGAACUCCCUUUUGUAUCUCAAGGUUAGCCUAAAGCCAGGGAUGCCAUCUGUGGUGGCAGAGGUGGGUAAAAACCCGAGUUUCCCCGCUUCAUUCUGCCAGACAGCUUUAAAAAAUGAUUUCAUGUUUUGGCAGAAGUAUCUGAGAUUGAGUCAAUUUGCUAUUAAAAUUAACAUGACCUUUUGGGUGUUUGUGCAGGAAACCCUGAGAGUGGAUCCAACAGAGUGGAUGCCUACCUUGAAGGGGGUAAAAUUUGGUUUUGCCUCAUCCCUUUUUGUUGGGCUCUGAAGGCCCUUUGUAUUGGGUUUCGGCCUCUUCUGCUUUUACAUUUAUAAUCCUGCUGGGUAUUUGGCACUUGUGGCUUGGAUCAGGCAUUGAUGGAUGUUUAGUGCCCGUGGUUGUGGGCUCAGCCCUGCCUAGGUUUGCUGCCGUAGGACACAAACUGGAAUGGAUUAUAGAUGGUCUGCCUGUAACAGGAGAUAGAAUUGAACAAGUAUUUCAAGAGUCCUCACCCAUGACCAUUCAGUACCUGACUGUGCUAGUCCGUGCUAGUCCGUGCUAGGCAUCAGCUCGCAUUCAGAGGUCUGUCUGCCGUAUUGAUGUAGAGAACACAGCCCUCUUCUGGUGAAAGGUUGCCUGUUGGGAAGAAGAGCUGAGGAAAACUGUGAAGAUCCAGUGCCUUGAUUUAGCUCCAUGAGAGUCAGAGUCCUUUCUCAGCUCCCAGUUGAGCACCAGAGAUGAUGGCCUCACACCUUUUGCCCCUGUCAUCAGUCCCUA